AUUAAGCCUUUGAUGCUAAAUGUUCUCUUUGCAGUAAUUGCUACAUUUAUUGGGUAGCAUUUGAUGAUAAUAAUUUGACUCUAAUAAAGAAAUGAUUUGCUCUUAAACAUUUUGCAUUAGAUGAACAUAAUCGUCAUAUUAUACAAAUUAUUGUAAAUUUUUAACAAGAUUUUUUUCUAAUUAAUAAAAUAUUUAGCUUAUCUUGUACUCCAUGUUGUUGGGGAGAAAACGCGUGGGUCGAGUUUGGUUGACAAAUAAUGGAAUUGAGAAAACACAACUAAAAAUGGACACAAAUAUUUACGUAGUUCACCCAAUUUAAGCUACGUCCACGGACCAGUAUAGGAGGAUUCACUAUAGUAGGAGAAUUACAACAAUCUCUCUAAAUACAAGGAGAUAACAACAAAUAAUCUCUCUUGUAAUAGGAGAAAACAAGUAGAAAAAAAGAACUUAGGAGAAAAACAAUAAAUUUUCUCUCUCCUCUUCUCUUCACCUUACAAUUUUCUCUUUUAAUUUUUCCUCUCCC
RNAcentral lists this long non-coding RNA (523 nucleotides) under Olea europaea subsp. europaea. Lineage: Eukaryota; Viridiplantae; Streptophyta; Magnoliopsida; Lamiales; Oleaceae. The record is from RNAcentral.